Ceratotherium simum simum (southern white rhinoceros) is the source of this 395-nucleotide non-coding RNA. The record is from RefSeq and is a predicted model, not a curated record. Lineage: Eukaryota; Metazoa; Chordata; Mammalia; Perissodactyla; Rhinocerotidae.
AGAAUCAGCUGCUUUAUGUUUUCUUCUUUGCACUGAUAUAUCAUGGCAGCGAGAGCUGUAUCUCUUAUAUCGGGACAGUGCCUGCUGCGUAGUAAGCGCUCAGGGAGUAUUUGCCUAAAGUGGGAAGAAUGCAUGAAUGAGUAUCCGCAGUGCCUGGCACAUAGCAGAUGUCCCAUAAAUAGUUGUUAAAGGGUGAGAGUUUGCCUUCCUGGCUGGGGAAGAUGGAGGGGGAGGAUUUUCUUCAGGGAAGGCUUCCUGGAGGUAGCUGUUGAACUAGACCUUAAAAGAUGGAGUGAAAUUCCACAAGGAAAGCUGAGCAGCAGAGCAUUCCAAACAGAAGGGACAAGUAUUUAGACAUAGGAGGCAUUGGUAAUAGUUUGAGAAAUUGAGCAUCU